Molecule: ribosomal RNA, 497 nt
Filed under: uncultured bacterium
Lineage: Bacteria
Description: partial 16S ribosomal RNA
Rfam family: Bacterial small subunit ribosomal RNA
Source: RNAcentral
GACGAACGCUGGCGGCGUGCCUAAUACAUGCAAGUUGAGCGAUGAAGAUUGGUGCUUGCACCAAUUUGAAGAGCAGCGAACGGGUGAGUAACGCGUGGGGAAUCUGCCUUUGAGCGGGGGACAACAUUUGGAAACGAAUGCUAAUACCGCAUAACAACUUUAAACAUAAGUUUUAAGUUUGAAAGAUGCAAUUGCAUCACUCAAAGAUGAUCCCGCGUUGUAUUAGCUAGUUGGUGAGGUAAAGGCUCACCAAGGCGAUGAUACAUAGCCGACCUGAGAGGGUGAUCGGCCACAUUGGGACUGAGACACGGCCCAAACUCCUACGGGAGGCAGCAGUAGGGAAUCUUCGGCAAUGGACGAAAGUCUGACCGAGCAACGCCGCGUGAGUGAAGAAGGUUUUCGGAUCGAAAAACUCUGUUGGUAGAGAAGAACGUUGGUGAGAGUGGAAAGCUCAUCAAGUGACGGUAACUACCCAGAAAGGGACGGCUAACUACGUG